Brassica napus (rape) is the source of this 4586-nucleotide long non-coding RNA. RefSeq lists it as uncharacterized. Lineage: Eukaryota; Viridiplantae; Streptophyta; Magnoliopsida; Brassicales; Brassicaceae. The transcript has 2 exons. The record is from RefSeq and is a predicted model, not a curated record.
GUAUAAUUAUAAGUGCUUAUAUAACCUGCAGAGGACGCGGGUUCCCAUCGACAAAAUGUCAGUUUUGUUAUUUUUUUUGGACUAGAUGUCAGUUUUGUUAUUUUUACCUUUUUAGUUAAUGAAUACAAAUUUACUAGAAUGCCUCCAUCUUCUUCCUUUCACCUGUUGCACCAAGAACUCUAAUUCUGUUUUUCACUUAUUUUUAUGAUGUUUAUGCCCAGUUAUGAUAGCUUCACAAAGAAAUUUAUGAUUAUGAGCUAACACUUUAGAAAAUUAGAUUUGUUUGGGAAAGAUCCAAGUUUUGGAGGGACUGAGGCGAAACGCACAUGCACUUUUUAGAACAAAUAUUUGUAUCCCAAGAUCUCCUGCAGUUUUCUAUCAAUAAAAUAUAAUAUAGUGAUCGGUUUGUCUAGACAUGUGUAAGAGGAAUAUUUACACUAGGUCCAACAAAAUCAAAACUUCGUAUAGCAACUAGAGAAAUUUUUUUGGGUAUAAAUAUUAAAUUUUAUACCAUUUUCAUUUUUGACAGAUUUUACAAUGAAAACAAGUAGCAAAAAAAGAGAGUUAAAACAUCUAAACAACACCGAAUAGAAAAGCAAAACAUAGCAAAAUACAAGAAUGCAAAAACUGAUACCAAUCUUGAAUAACACAACAACGCAUUUUGCAUAGGAUCGCAGUGCGCCAAGAGCUGGAAUCUCAUUGUUGUGGCUGCUAAGUUGCCGCGAAUCUACAGAUGAUUGGGCAGCAAAUAGAUAGAUAUUUUUAUUUUCAAAACCUUAGAGCCCUUUUUGCAAAACCAAUUUAUUUGUUUCCACAAAAUUAGAAUUUGCUCAGGGUCCACAUUAACAAUGGGACUCCCCUGAUAGCGAAACUCAACUCAAACAACUAUGAUCUAUAAGAUUCAAGGACAUUUCCAAUUAUUUUGAAGUUAGGUAUGAAGUUUGUAAGUAUGACUUUAAUUAUAUUUAUUUAUUAAACAAAAAAAACACGUUUCCUACGCUUUUAAAAUUUAUUUUAUUUAUAACCCUUUGAUUUGAGGAGAUGCAUGCAGAUAUCAAAAUUAAACGUUAACUAUCUAUUCAACGGCCUGAUGGAUCUAAAGAAGUUAACAUCAAAUGUGAAGCAAAUACAAGAUUAUGUAUGAAAGGAGAUACUUACGCUUAAUGCUAAUACAGAGUAUCUCCGAGGCUACCUCCAUGGAAGCUGUGAUAAAGAGUUAUUCAAGAAGAACGUACCGGUAGUAAGCUACGAUGAUGUUAAGCCUUAUAUCGAACGCGUUGUGAAUGGAGAACCUUCAAAUGUUAUUUCUGGAAAACCCAUUACUCGAUUUCUGUUGAGCUCAGGAACUACUGCAGGGAAACAAAAGAUCUUCCCAGUUAACAACAAGUUCUUUGAGGACAUGUCAUUUGUCAUUGCUCUAGGCUCAUUCCUUAUAUCAAAGUACAGUAAAACCUCUAUAAAUUAAUAAUGUUGCGACAUUGAAAUUUUAUUAAUUUAUAGAGAUAUUAAUUUACAAAAGUUUCCUUAUUUAGAUUUUUAUUUUAAAAUAUAUUUAUUCUAAAAUAAUAAAAAUAUUUGAUUUUAGUGUAUAGACAUUAAUAGUUAUUUUUUUGAAAUUUGACAUUUAUAUUAGUUUUAUUAUAUUAUUUGUUGUAUAUAAUAUAUAUUGCAUAGAACUUCAAUAUGGUUUUAGAUAUAAUAUUACUAAAUCUCAUCAAAAAUAUAUUAAGUGUUAAGAAAAUAUAAAGAUAAUUUUACUGUGAAUAUAAAACACAAAAAUAUAAUAAUAGGUGCUUAUUUAUAUAAAUUAUGUAUACAUAUAAAUUAUUAAUUUAUAAUUUUAAUGGGACCAUAUAUUAUUGUAUCGAUUUGUGUCAAAUUUUGAACCGGCCCAAGUUGGGACAUGCAAAAUUUAUUAAUUUAUAGAGAUUAUUAAUUUAUCAAGUAUUAAUUUAUAGAUGUUCUACUGUAUACUUUUAUCUUAAACUAGACCUUAAUCCGCGUAACUACGCGGCUAUUUAUUUUCACAUUUAUAUAUGUAGAAAUUUUUUAUAUUAUUAAUGACAUAUAUAUAUAUAUAUAUAUACACUAUCUUUUAAAAUGUUUAUAUGCUUUUUUUUACAUGUUUGUUAUUUAAUUAAUUGUUUGAAACUGACAAGUAUUUGUAACUUCUUAUUAUAUAUUUGGUAGUACUAAUUGGAUUUGCGUUUGAUUAUUAGAUGACUUUGAAAGAUUAAACAAUUUGGAAAUUGUUUUGUAUGCAAUUCAUACAUUAUUUAAAUAUCAUAUCAAAAAUUAUAAGUAAUGAAAAAAAUUAAUGGGUUUAGUAAAAUUUGCAUUUUAUGACAAUUCUAAAAUAUUCAAAUACACUAAUUUCAAAACAUUUAGUAUUAGUUAUUUAUAUUAUUAAAAAAUAAGUUUAAAUUACCAUUUAAAUUAGGUAUGAGAUGUUGAACAGAACCAAGCCUGCUGAACAUAACCAAACCGAAAUAAAGGUGAGAAAUUUGGUUCGGUUCGUCAAGUUUAUAAAAAACUUUAAUUUUCGGUUCAGUUUGCUUCGGUAAUCGGUUAGAUUUUGGUAAAAAUAGCUGAAAUUAUCCAAAUUUAACCAAAUUUUAACAGAAACAUAAUCGAAACUAUAAACUUUGGUUAGUUUCUGUAAAAAAAAAUUAAAAACAAUCUACCCGAAUACCAAACCGAAAUAAACUUUUUUGUUUAAUUUGGCGAGAGUUUGGUCGAACCAAACUACCCAAAUUCCGAACUACCCGAACCCGCAUGCCUAAUUUAAAUCAAUCAUUUAUCCUAUUAAAUUGGGCUUUACAUAUAUAUAUACUAGACCUUGACCCGCGCGCUCGCGCAUGUGUUCUUUUUCGGUUUGCAAUUUUUAAUAUUUAUUAUAUUUUAUAUAAGUAUGAUGUGGUUAAUAAUGUAGUCUAUGCUAAUUUAAAAAAUUAAAAUGAUAAAUUACAUUAGUUAUUUCUUAUAUAUCAAUUUUUUUGAAAUAUAGGGUUGUUAAUCAUAGAGUUUGUUUGUAUUUAUAACCAAUUAAAAUAAAUAUUAAUAUUUUUCUAUCCAUUAAUUUGUAUUAGAAAAUAUAUUUUUUAUAUUUUGAAAAAUGCAUAAGUUCAUGUUAAAUUAUUAACAUUAUUUCUAAUUAUAGAUAAAAUAUAGUUGGGUAGAUAAUUUAUAGUUGAAUCAUUAGAAUAUACAAAAUAAAUGGGUUUGGUUCAAUAUCUAUCACUAAAAUAUUUAACAACUUUUUGUGAUAGCUAUAUAUAAAUUGGUUUUUUAAUUGUUGGUGGUACACAUGUUAGACUGUAUAAUAAGUUAAGAGUAUUUUACACUAUAAGACAGUUUCCAAGUUUUUAUUACAUUCUAGGUCAGUUAUCACUAUUGAGGUAGUUUUUUAUGACUAGAAACCAAACCACCGUUAACUAGAUUCUUUUUAUCUAACUAAAGUGGUUCCACAAUUUUCUAAAAUUUAUUACUUUUCUUCUCUUUUUCGAGAGUAAACAAACAUAAUUAUGAAAUCAAAAAGCUUCUUCUUCACAUCUCAAUCUUCAACUUCUCGAUCUCAGGUCAUCUAUGCCACAAUUCCUCUCGCCGUGUUUCCUGGUCAUCCUCUGUGACUGCCGGUGAACCUCCGUCGAGCUCGGUCGCGAAACUGCAUGUUCGUCUUCUCCUUCGCCGUGAAAUCAACACAAACAAAUUCUUCCUCCAUGUCGUGCUAUUCAUUUCAUCUCCCUUGUGCUCGUGGUGGUUGUGAUGUUCGAAAUCCGCCGCAGUGGCCGUGUUUCGAUUCAUCUCCCUUGUCCUCUUCAGCUCAUUUCCCUUGACAAAAACUCACUAUUUUUAAAAUCUGAAUUUGAAAAACAUUCUAUAAAUGAUAAAACUAUGAUCAUGAAGUGUAACCUAUAAUUAAAACGUAAAAGAAUGAAAGAUUUUGUGGAAAAAAUCAAUAGCGGCCGCAAAUUUAUUGCAGAAAACCCAAAAUUCUGGAAAAUACGAAGACAUAUUUACUAAAAUGCCACUGAUUAAAAAAAUUGAAAAUAAACAAAGUAUGUACAUAUUCAUGGGUUGUACACAUGGAUAAGAAUGUGCAUGUACACUAUUAGAUUAGUAAUUUGUAAACACAUCUAAAGUUGUUUGUGUGUUUAACAUAUACUUAUAAAGAAAUUUACAUGUACACAUAUGUUUUUGACAUCGACAAGGGCUACAUGUACAAUAUACAUAUUAUAUCUUAUCAGAUAUUUACAUGUACACAUAUGUUUGAGAUACAUGUUAUAUGUCCAGUAUGUUGUAAACUUGUGUACAUGUUUGAGAUACAAUUUUCAUAUAUUUAUAUGUACACAUAUGUUUGAGUGUUAUCUUUUUGUUAGCUAAAUAUGUACCUUGACAUAAGUGUUAUCUUUGUUGUGACAUCACUCUUCAUCAUGCUUCAAACUGUUAGAACACAUGAAUAUGCAAAAAUUAUCAACGUGUACAUAUAAUGUAUUAUCCACAUGUACGUUUAGAUGAAUUAUAUCCACGUGUACACCAUUAUGAACAAAAGUGCAAAAAGAUGAUACUCCUCCAUUGUUAUUGCA